RNAcentral lists this ribosomal RNA (496 nucleotides) under uncultured bacterium. RNAcentral describes it as "bacterial SSU rRNA". It matches the Rfam family "Bacterial small subunit ribosomal RNA", at positions 501 to 1000 of the family's 1533-position model. The record is from RNAcentral.
CUACGUGCCAGCAGCCGCGGUAAUACGGAAGGUUCGGGCGUUAUCCGGAUUUAUUGGGUUUAAAGGGAGCGUAGGCCGGAGAUUAAGUGUGUUGUGAAAUGUAGACGCUCAACGUCUGACUUGCAGCGCAUACUGGUUUCCUUGAGUACGCACAACGUUGGCGGAAUUCGUCGUGUAGCGGUGAAAUGCUUAGAUAUGACGAAGAACUCCGAUUGCGAAGGCAGCUGACGGGAGCGCAACUGACGCUGAAGCUCGAAGGUGCGGGUAUCGAACAGGAUUAGAUACCCUGGUAGUCCGCACAGUAAACGAUGGAUGCCCGCUGUUGGUACCUAGUAUCAGCGGCUAAGCGAAAGCAUUAAGCAUCCCACCUGGGGAGUACGCCGGCAACGGUGAAACUCAAAGGAAUUGACGGGGGCCCGCACAAGCGGAGGAACAUGUGGUUUAAUUCGAUGCAACGCGAAGAACCUUACCUACUCUUGACAUCCAGAGAAUUUUC